This is a long non-coding RNA of Medicago truncatula (barrel medic), 484 nucleotides long. RefSeq lists it as uncharacterized. The record is from RefSeq and is a predicted model, not a curated record. The transcript has 3 exons. NCBI's taxonomy places the organism in Eukaryota, Viridiplantae, Streptophyta, Magnoliopsida, Fabales, Fabaceae.
GAGUUCCUUAAAAAUUUUGAUAUCCAACUUUGCAAAAGAUUGCAAGAGACUUUUUGGCAAUUCCAAUCUCCACGAUUGCUUCGGAAUCUGCAUUUAGUACUAGUGGCCGUGUUGUAACUCUACAACGUAGUAGGUUGAAGGAAGACACAUUAGAGGCUUUGAUGUGCAGCCAAGAUUGGUUCCGAACAGAAAUGCAAGGUUAUUCAAAGAUAUUGGCUCCUUUUGAAUGUGUUGAUGAGGAUAUGGAUGAUGAUGAGGAAAUGAGUCAAAAAUAACUGUGGUGGAGGGUGAUGGAGAAGAUCUUAUAAGGAAAAGUUGGAAGCAAGAGACAUGAUUUUUUGUUGUGAAUGGAUGCCUUGUUGGAAGCAAGAGACAUGAUUUUUUGUUGUGAAUGGAUGCCUUCUUAUUUUGAAUUUAGAUGUAUCUUAUAUUAAGCAACAUGACUUGUCCACUUUUGUGGUUUUGCUACUAGAUUAUGACUUAA